GAGACUUUGGAUUCGGGGGUUGGUUUCGAAUAGGGAAGGUGUUAAGCACCCUAAACGACUUCGGUACUCCGAAAGAACCGCUUACUUAGAUUAUCUUGUGCUAAAUUCAUUUGCUUACUUGAAAAAUUAUUACCUAAAAAUCUAAGUAAAAGAAUGGAGGGAGAAGAAGUAUGUUUUUGGUUGUUUUUAUUUGAUUUGGAAGGACAAGUCCUCUGCCUACGUACCCUUUUGGGAAGGGAUCAAAACCAACGUAGUUCCACUCAAAAAUUUCUUUGGUGGGUUAGGUUGAUUUUAAGAUUUUUUGAAAAUGGUUUUAAGAAGAGAAAGAGGCCUCAAGGCAUGAGAUAAAAGAAAUGAGUGAGGUUGAUUGAUUUUAAAUUUUGAAAAUGAUUGAAGUUGAAUUAAAAUUGAUUGAGAAUUUGAUUAAGAAAAUAAAGGGAAAAUGUUAUUAAGAAAAUGAUUUUUGAAGUUUCGCAUAUUCGAUUUUUUUUUUGAGAAAAUGAUUUUUCUAAACUAACGGUGAAAACUAACGUAACGUCGUAAAAACUAACGGAAAGCGGUAAAUAAAAUGUGGCAGUGUCGGUGCAUGUGUCGGUGCUUGUGUUACCUACAUUAUUACAUCAACUCCUAAAUACAAUCCUAAGGCCUUUAUGCCAAAAUAAAAAUGCAAGAAAUAAAAUUACAUCAAUUCCCUAUUUAUACACACUAAGUCAAUGACAAAAUAAAAUGAUGAGAAAAUUACAUGUGCAUGCUAUGAUUCAAGACAAAAAUUAAAUAGUUAGUAAUCACAAGAAAUAUUAUGAUGAAUAAGACAUAAGAAAUAAUAAGCAAGAAUUUAAGUCAAGCAACAAUUAAAAUCAUCAUAUAGAGAUUAAAAGCAAGUAAUGAAAUGAACAAGAAAAUUUUAAAAGAAAACAAGUAGGAUGAAUUUUUAAAAUUAGAGAAAAUUAAAAUGAUGAGAACAAUAUUUUUUGGAAUUUUUUCUAAGCACAAAAAUGUCAAAAAAAAUGUAAAAAUAGUAUUUAAAAAAAUAAAAGACAAAAAGAAAUAAAAAAAAAAUUAGGCUCAGCAGGAACUAAUCUGGACCGUUGGAUGAAUCCAGAGGUCCAGAUCUGAAUCCCAAGAUUUCAUCACAGCCAUUGGAUCAAAGAUCCAAGGGUUUAAAAAAAACACAAAAUAGAGAAGGAAACAUAGAGAGCACAGCGACCGUCAGAUCAACGAUCUGACGGUUCAAACAGAAAACAUACCACAGUCCACACAGCAGAACACAUACAUAAUUUAAAGACAGAUCAAACAGUGGCCGUCAGAUCAAGGAACGAUCCAGAUCUGAUGGCUACUAACGCGAUGGAGCAUUGUAUGGUUAUGAGUACGCGCGCGUGUGAUCCGGCAAAAAAGAAAUUACUAUAAAAGCAAGUUUAAACAAAAAAAAUCAACACAACUCUAAAACACUUCUCUCUCUAAGUUAAACUUAGAGAGAGAAGCUCUCCCCUCCCUCAAGAAUAACACGGCCGGAGAAGAUGAAGAGAAACAAUCCUCUUCCCUUCCUCUACUCAAAUCUAAACUCAUAAUUUCUAAAACAUGCACCAAAAAUCCUAGAUCUACAAUCUUAGCUUCAAACAAAACUUCAUACAAAAUAACCAAAAACACUAGCAACACUACACAAGAGGUGGAAAGGAUCAAAAGUUACCUCUAAUGGAGAGCUUCACGUUUUUCUCCCCUUUCUCCGGUUCGUUUUGCUCUUCUCCGGUCCGGUCCGGUUUUGAUUGCUUCGGUUCGAUUUUGGCUUGUUUAUGCUUGUUUGUGAUUUGUGUGGUUAUAUGAAUGGAUUUGAGGUUUUGUCAAAGUUUUGGUGUUGCUGGAUUUUUCCUAUGAACCCAUGAAUGUUCUUCUUAAACUCAUGUUAUUUUUUUUUGUACUUUUUUGUGCUUGAUUUGAAAAAGGGUUGGAAAAGUAGAAAAUUAGGGUUUGUGAAUUGAUGCUGAUUUUUUUUUUCUGACAUGAACAGUGAUUUUUUUGGACCCAUUUCUCAAUGAUUGACAGUGUAUUUAUAGUGACAAAAUAGGGUUGGCUCUGGUACAGAUCAAAGACCAAAAUACCCCUGUUGGAGACUUGGGGAUAAAGACUUAACAAAUAAAAAAAAUAAGAAAAAGGAAAAGAAAAGAGGAAGGAAAGAAAGAAAGUUCACGUGACUUUCUUUUCUUUGUUUUUUUUAAAAAAAUAAUAAAAUAAAAUAAUAAUAAAACAAAAAAAGAAAAAAUAAAAAAAAAACAAAAUAAAAAUAAAAAAUAAAAAUAUUAAUUAAUAUAUAAAAAAAGUCCCUUCGAAAUUUGACAUGAGGUACUUCAAAGUAUCCUCCCUGCCGAAAUUUCGGUUGAAAUGAUUAAAAAGACACGACUUUGAAAAUACAAUUAGACCUUUUAAAAUGACUUGACUGUUAUGACUAAAACUUUUAAAUAUAAAAUGCGUCUAAAAGUUAUAAAAAAAAUACAGAUGAAGUGAUUUUAACUGUUGUAAAAAGCGAGCAGAGACUUAAAUGCAAGAUGACAGUUUUUAAAUGAUUAAAGACGAAAAACACGAGUUUUAAAUGGUAAAAAAAACGAAUAAAAGAGCAGGUGGACUAUUAUAAAAUAUGGACAAAAAAGAUUUCAAAUGGUCCAAAUUUGGGGUAUGACACACGUGAUGAGCCGACUGCCCAUUUAACACCCGCCUCCUAUUGUUGGAAAGAUAUAUUUUCGGAUCCAUCCAUGCCCCUCGGAGUGCAACACGUGAGCAUAGGCAUUUCUGGUAUCAAAUCUGAAUUAGAUUUUAUCAGAUUUCUUCUUCUACAUUCUCCAAUGCUAGAAUAUGUGAUUUUGGAGCCUUAUGUAAAGAUCAGACCUGAGGUGAUGACAGAAGUAAACCAGUUGAAGAGAGUGUCAGAGACAGGCUGAAGUUAUUUACCGUGGAAAAGACUCUUCCUAAUGUUUUCUAUUCUCCUAAAAGUUUCAUUAUGGCUUUUAAGGUUGUUAUGAGUAAACUUUUCAAUGAUGUGGCAAAUUAUGACCGAUUGACAUUGUGAAUUUUUUAUAUUGAUAGUAUAUUUAAAUUGAAUAUUUUUUUAUUGAUAGUGUUUUUUACUCUCUCACUCAUUGUGCAGUAUCAAACCAUUGUACUUGCAUAAUUAAUUAGUAUAUUUUCCUAUUUGGGUUUUUAUCCUAUUGAAAGAUACACCUUAGUGCUUUUUCCUGAAUCAAAUGUUGCUGGUUUUGGAAGCAUUUAACAAGCAUUGUGAUUGAGCUUAAUGCAUAGAAAAAGGAGUAUUACCUAAGAAAGCUUUAUGCACAUCGAUAAUUUAAAAGGGGCGUGGGUUGUGUUAACGUCCUUGUUAAAGAAACAUUUAUAUUGAAAACAUUUUUUUACAUAUUUAAGACUUCGAAUACACAAGUUUCAAGAUAUUCAUACUAUAUUUGUUUCCUUAACUAAAAUAACAAAGUAAUUUCUCCUCUGCCGAGUUGUAGGUUCCUUAUCCAUACAAGUUUUUUCACUGUGCUUGUCCAAUGUUAUUACUGCUUUGUGACUCUUCAUUUUUAUUUGAUGUUUCAUGUUUCUUCAAUUAGUUAUUUGUCUAGAUCCCAAACUCAUUUUCCAGUACAUUUAACAGAUUUACAGUAAAUUUGGCUAUUUUUUGGUGUUUCCAAAUUCAUUAUUCCCUGCAUUUGCAAUAUUUGAUAAUAUGCUACAAAAUAUUCCAAGCUUCAAUCAACCAUAUGACAAGUUGCAAGAUAUAGUGAUAUACUACUAUAGAUAUUUGCAGGUAAUUUUUAUCUGGAAAGUUACUGAACGUGGUGCGUAAUGCUAAGAUUGAAUACUCAACACAUAUCAAUCCUUGGUUAUAUUAUCUGGCAAAUUUUUAUCUAAUUUAUCCCAUGGUGCUAACUGAUAAAAUAAUUUAUCAAUAGCUUUUUCAUAUGAGCUAAAUUGAAUAAAGACAAUGGUAAUCUUAACCAGCAGCACAAUAGGACCACCAUGUUUUACUAUAUGUCACUUUGAAAAAUAUAUUUGUGUUUUAAUAUAUGUUACUUUAAAAUAAAACAUUAAUGAUUUGUUUCCUAUCAUACCCUUUAGAAUUUAUUACUCCCUCUUCUAUCAAUUAUAUUAAUCUCUCUUUCCCAUUUCAGUAAUGAAGAAUAUAUGGCUAUCCUUCAAACCUUUUCUCAAGAGAUGAAACCAAAAUUUUCCUUCCUUUGCCUAUUUCAUAAAAAAAAAAAAAAAAAAAAAUCUUCCUUUGGUGGAAGGAUUUAUGUGCUUUAGGGAAGGGUAUGGAAAAUACACAAGAUUGAUUUUAGGAGUAUGCAAAGAAAAGCAUUAAUAAUGGGGAAUCAACAUUUUUUGGCAUGACAUUUGGUUGGGGGAAACUCUCUUACUUCUACUUUUUCAAGGCUUUAUUCGCAUACUAAUGUAUUGUGCAAGGCAAUUCUUGCCAAAAGAAUAACCAGGCGAGUCAUGUGGGGAGGUGAUUCGAUGAAGAGUGGCGUUGGGAGCUUGGUUAGAGGAGGGAGAUUUUUGGUAGGAAUAAUCAAGCUUGAGUGAUCUAGACAAGCGAUAUUUAUAGGUUCUCACAACUUCAAAUUUUUUUACGGUCAAAUCUUUAUUUGUUGCUUUGUGUAGCAAUCUUCUUCCUGCUUCAGAUUUGAGUGUGGUGUCUAGAAGGUGGUUAAGAGGAAUUUGGGCUAGUUUGACUCCGUAAAACGUUUACAUUUUUUGUUUUUGCCAACUAAACCUUUGGAGCAUAGUUUUAAAAUUCGGCUCGGUCAUCGACUCGGCGGGGAUACUGGGUCAAUGGGUCAAUGGUCGAAUCACUGAGUCAUUGGUCGAACCGCAUGACUGAACCGGAACCACUCGGAUGACUCGGUUAGAUAAUUCGGUCCUUAGAUUAAAUUUAUAUAGUUAUAUAACCGGAUUAACUCGGAUUGAAUCGGUGACUCGGUCACUUUAGAAACUAAAAUAAUGAAUUAUGACAUGGAAGCAGAUGAUCGAUCACAUACAUAAUAACUACAUUAGAUUAAACAUUAUAACAUGGAAUUAUGAAACAAUCAGAAUUAAACAUUAUAAAUCAGAAUUAAACAUUAACAUGGAAUUAACAUUAAACAAUCAGAAUCUAACAAUAAAACAGAGGAGUAAAUGGAGGUAGUGAAGUUUUAAAUCAAAACAAGAAAUCAACAAUAAAUCAAGAGAUGUUUUAAAUCAACAAUAAAUCAAAACAAUAAAACAAGAAAUCAACAAUAAAUCAAAACAAGAAAUCAAAAAGAAGCAAAGAAGAACAAUCUGGAAAAGAAAAAAAAAAGGUUUUUUCACGUAACGUACCGUAACUGUUUGACAACGACGACAACGUGGAGGACGGCAGCGUGGAGCGACGGCGACGGCGACCUAGAGACAAGCGGCGGUGACGGCAACUGGAGCGACGGCGGUUUGAACUUCUCAACUUCUCUUCUCUUCUCUCUGUACGUGAAAACAGAGUAGUGAAUGGAGGGAGUGAGGUUUUUAGAGUUCUGACCCUUCUAAUUCCACUUUUUUUUUUUUUAAAUUAAAAAUCCAAAACGACGUCGUUUUAGGCAAGCUAAAAAUAAUAUAAAAAAAACGGUCUGACCCACGACUCGGCCGAGUCACCGGUUUUUACUGAUUUUGACCGAGUUAACUGCAUAGCCGAUCCAAAUGUUGGCUCGAACCGGCUUACCCACCGGUCCGAGCCGAGUUUCAAAACUAUGCUUUGUAGACUUCCUACUUGGGGAAAUUUAUCUAGAAGAGGAGUGUUGUUGGAAGGAACAUCUUUGUCUUCCCACUUUUGAUUGUGCUUAGUUCGUUAAUUUUUUUAUUGGAGCAUAUCACAAUGAAAUAAAGAUUUGAGUUAUAUUUUCUUUAUUGUAGAGAAAUUGUUUCUAUUAUAAUGAGAUUUUUUUUCUUCUUAACAUGACAAAGUGAAAUAUAUUAGCAAACUGAAACAGUCUUCCAACACAAGGAGUUCUUAAGAAGACCUCAAAAAGUGAUAUACAAAGUUAACAUAACAAGUUUGAAAAUAAAGAGAACAAGAAUGGGAGAAAAAAUCUAAGUUACAAUUGAUAGGCAAAUAAAAGGAUUAAGCCUCCAAUAAGUAUAGUCGAAAUCGAAAGUCACAUAAGUCGAUUUCAACCACCAAAAUAAAUGGAGCUUUACUUUUUUGCAUAAAAAGUGUAAUUGUUCCUCCUUAUGCUAAAAGGCGCAUCUAUUUCUCUCUUCCAUAUAACCCAAACAACUGAAAUCCAAAUAAUGUUAAACACCUUGCAUAUUUAUUUUGGAAAGCCUCAUAAGCCACUAAACUGAUCAAGAUGACCCAUCAACUUCCCCUGAACUGCAGUUGAAAAACCUAACCAACCACAUACAACCUGGCGAAUCUUUCCAUAAAAAUCACAUGUAACAAAUUGAUGUUCUCUAUCCUCAUUCAUACCACAUCCUCCGGUGCAAGUUUGAUCAUUGGAGGAGAGGACAUGCUGUUGCACUAAAUUAUCCUUAUAGGAAGGUGGUUCAAAAGCAAGCGCCAAAUUAAAGACACCGCUUUCAACCACAAAAGCUGCUUGUUGUUAUUACUAUCGUUAUAAUGAAAGUCAUUACCAACAUUCUUGGUCAAACUGUAAUAAGCGCUACGAACAGUGUAACGAUGAAAAGAAUGAAGCUUUCAAACCCACUAACCCUCCACAUCAACCUGCAAGACACUAGAAGUUAACAACUCAAUACACUCCCUCACUAACUCCUCUUCCCAAUCAAAGAGCUUAUGCCGUCACUUCCACGCCUCUCCAUUGACUCCAUAUAAUCUUCAUUUUGUUCUUAGCUAACUCAUAUAAUCUAUCGAACCGAACAAAAAAGGUACACCAUCCAACCCAUGGUCCCUCCAAAAUAGAGUGCUCUCAACCAAUAUUAUAACUAAUCAACCAACAUUCGCCAAACAACCACCCUCUCUAAUCCUAUUCAAAUGUUGCCUUAACAUAACCUCUUCCUUCCACAAAACACAAUCUCCCAUCUUUCUCUCCAUACCCAGCACAAAGCACCUUAUACCAUAAACUUCUCAUUUCCUCCAAAACCCUCCAACACCAUUUCACAAGUAGUAAAGCUAAAUUAAAAUCCUUCGAUCUCCUAAUCAUCAAACCACCAUUAUAUUUUUUUCCAUCCAAAUAGUGUCCCAUUUAAUCCGAGAAAUUUUCCUAAAAUAUUCACCACCACCCCAAAAAAUACAUUAAAGAUAGAUUUAAGAGAAAAGAUAAUACAUGAGGGAGCCUUGAAGAAGGAAAUAAAAUAGACAGGUAUGGAUGACAAAACAUAUUUUAGAAGAAUCAGACGAAGAGAGCGUUAGAUUUGUAGGCAUGAGAGCAAGCAAGCAACGGUAAUGACAAUUUUGAAUAUAUUGUUACAUAUUACAUUUUUUUUUUAUGGGAAGGUGAUAACUUUGUAACAAUAUUUUAGGUGUUUAAUAAUCCUUCUUAUUGUCAUAGUUAGAAUGGUAAACAAAUUCUAUAGUCUAUCAUUAGAAGUUACCCUUUUUG
This 7550-nucleotide long non-coding RNA is filed under the name Medicago truncatula (barrel medic). Its description in RNAcentral is "long non-coding RNA (MTRU_LNC007096)". The record is from RNAcentral. Lineage: Eukaryota; Viridiplantae; Streptophyta; Magnoliopsida; Fabales; Fabaceae.